Amphibalanus amphitrite is the source of this 760-nucleotide long non-coding RNA. RefSeq lists it as uncharacterized. The record is from RefSeq and is a predicted model, not a curated record. NCBI's taxonomy places the organism in Eukaryota, Metazoa, Arthropoda, Thecostraca, Balanomorpha, Balanidae. The transcript is spliced from 2 exons.
CAGCUGUUGUGAUCCGGUAUAAAUACAGCUGAUAUCAAGGCUCAUGAAUCAUUGUCGAACAUUUCAUUUCAACUGGGCGACAUGAAGACAACAUUGAGCUACACAUUGAUGCUUCUCGGUGUUCUCUGCGCCACACUCGCAGUGACCGACGCCGGUGUCAAUCGCCGCGGAUUCCGCAUUUCUGACAACGGUGGCUCCCAUGAGCGCGGAAUAGGCGGCGGAGUCGAAGGCGGAGUCGAAGACAGAAUCGGAGGCGGCUACGGAGGCGGGUACGGAGGCGGAGCGAGAGGCGGAUUCGGAGGCGGAAUCGGCGGCGGAUACUCGGGCGGAGACGGAGGAUUCAGAGGCGGACUCGGAGGCGGAUUCGGCGGCGGCGGAUACGCGGGGGGAGGAGACGAAGGCAGAGCAGGAGGCGAGCUCACAGAUCUAUUUAUAUGCGGCGGGUACGGCAAACCGCUCUGUCCUACGCCAUCCCACGACCCGCUGCUCCCUGGUACUACCCCUUCGGUUUCAAUGGAAACAUCUACAACGCAACUUUCGUGAAUGCGUGACACACCGGCGUCGACAAUUUUAAAGCCAUGCCAAAUCAGCAUCCGACGAAGUGUUAGGUGAGAGACGCACAACAAAAACCGAAUUGUAAUGAACUUUUCAGUACCUAUUUAAGUAGGACAUAGGCGGCAAUUAGGUACUACCUAUACAUGGGCAAACUACAUGACAUGAAACUUUUGAAGGUUCGGCUAAUAUAUUUUCAACAACUGAA